AGAUUAAGUUAUUAAGGGCGCACGGUGGAUGCCUUGGCACUAGAAGCCGAUGAAGGACGUUACUAACGACGAUAUGCUUUGGGGAGCUGUAAGUAAGCUUUGAUCCAGAGAUUUCCGAAUGGGGAAACCCAGCAUGAGUUAUGUCAUGUUAUCGAUAUGUGAAUACAUAGCAUAUCAGAAGGCACACCCGGAGAACUGAAACAUCUUAGUACCCGGAGGAAGAAAAAGAAAAUUCGAUUCCCUUAGUAGCGGCGAGCGAAACGGGAAGAGCCCAAACCAACAAGCUUGCUUGUUGGGGUUGUAGGACACUCUAUACGGAGUUACAAAGGACGACAUUAGACGAAUCAUCUGGAAAGAUGAAUCAAAGAAGGUAAUAAUCCUGUAGUCGAAAAUGUUGUCUCUCUUGAGUGGAUCCUGAGUACGACGGAACACGUGAAAUUCCGUCGGAAUCUGGGAGGACCAUCUCCUAAGGCUAAAUACUCUCUAGUGACCGAUAGUGAACCAGUACCGUGAGGGAAAGGUGAAAAGCACCCCGGAAGGGGAGUGAAAUAGAACCUGAAACCGUGUGCUUACAAGUAGUCAGAGCCCGUUAAUGGGUGAUGGCGUGCCUUUUGUAGAAUGAACCGGCGAGUUACGAUUUGAUGCAAGGUUAAGCAGUAAAUGUGGAGCCGUAGCGAAAGCGAGUCUGAAUAGGGCGUUUAGUAUUUGGUCGUAGACCCGAAACCAGGUGAUCUACCCUUGGUCAGGUUGAAGUUCAGGUAACACUGAAUGGAGGACCGAACCGACUUACGUUGAAAAGUGAGCGGAUGAACUGAGGGUAGCGGAGAAAUUCCAAUCGAACCUGGACAUAGCUGGUUCUCUCCGAAAUAGCUUUAGGGCUAGCCUCAAGUGAUGAUUAUUGGAGGUAGAGCACUGUUUGGACGAGGGGCCCCUCUCGGGUUACCGAAUUCAGACAAACUCCGAAUGCCAAUUAAUUUAACUUGGGAGUCAGAACAUGGGUGAUAAGGUCCGUGUUCGAAAGGGAAACAGCCCAGACCACCAGCUAAGGUCCCAAAAUAUAUGUUAAGUGGAAAAGGAUGUGGCGUUGCCCAGACAACUAGGAUGUUGGCUUAGAAGCAGCCAUCAUUUAAAGAGUGCGUAAUAGCUCACUAGUCGAGUGACACUGCGCCGAAAAUGUACCGGGGCUAAACAUAUUACCGAAGCUGUGGAUUGUCCUUUGGACAAUGGUAGGAGAGCGUUCUAAGGGCGUUGAAGCAUGAUCGUAAGGACAUGUGGAGCGCUUAGAAGUGAGAAUGCCGGUGUGAGUAGCGAAAGACGGGUGAGAAUCCCGUCCACCGAUUGACUAAGGUUUCCAGAGGAAGGCUCGUCCGCUCUGGGUUAGUCGGGUCCUAAGCUGAGGCCGACAGGCGUAGGCGAUGGAUAACAGGUUGAUAUUCCUGUACCACCUAUAAUCGUUUUAAUCGAUGGGGGGACGCAGUAGGAUAGGCGAAGCGUGCGAUUGGAUUGCACGUCUAAGCAGUAAGGCUGAGUAUUAGGCAAAUCCGGUACUCGUUAAGGCUGAGCUGUGAUGGGGAGAAGACAUUGAGUCUUCGAGUCGUUGAUUUCACACUGCCGAGAAAAGCCUCUAGAUAGAAAAUAGGUGCCCGUACCGCAAACCGACACAGGUAGUCAAGAUGAGAAUUCUAAGGUGAGCGAGCGAACUCUCGUUAAGGAACUCGGCAAAAUGACCCCGUAACU
RNAcentral lists this ribosomal RNA (1737 nucleotides) under Staphylococcus aureus. RNAcentral's name for it is "partial 23S ribosomal RNA". It matches the Rfam family "Bacterial large subunit ribosomal RNA", at positions 1 to 1735 of the family's 2925-position model. The record is from RNAcentral. Lineage: Bacteria; Bacillati; Bacillota; Bacilli; Caryophanales; Staphylococcaceae.